AGUUGGCCGGGCAGCCGCGCUUUACCAAUGUCGAAAGACGGUAGGGUGAGGAAAGUCCGGGCUCCACGGAAAAACGGUGCCGGAUAACGUCCGGCGGGGGUGACCCCAGGGAUAGUGCCACAGAAAACAGACCGCCCCGCAUGCGGGGUAAGGGUGAAAAGGUGGGGUAAGAGCCCACCGCGAAGCUGGCAACAGCCUUCGGCACGGAAAACCCCACCGGGAGCAAAACCGAAUAGGGAUGACACGCGGGUGCGCAAGCACCCCAGCCCGUUUUCCGGGGUCGUCAUCCGGGUGGGUUGCGAGAGGCCACGCGCAAGCGCGGUCCCAGAUGAAUGGCUGCCACGUUCCGCCCAAAGCGGAGCCAUACAGAACCCGGCUUACAGGCCAACUGG
This 392-nucleotide RNase P RNA is filed under the name uncultured Gellertiella sp. Its description in RNAcentral is "Bacterial RNase P class A". It matches the Rfam family "Bacterial RNase P class A". Rfam says of the family: Ribonuclease P (RNase P) is a ubiquitous endoribonuclease, found in archaea, bacteria and eukarya as well as chloroplasts and mitochondria. Its best characterised activity is the generation of mature 5'-ends of tRNAs by cleaving the 5'-leader elements of precursor-tRNAs. The record is from RNAcentral. Lineage: Bacteria; Pseudomonadati; Pseudomonadota; Alphaproteobacteria; Hyphomicrobiales; Rhizobiaceae.